AAUAACAUGAACCAUUUUCCCCAAAUUUCAACCGGUAGCCUCUUCCUUAUCUUGACCUAAGCACUCGACGAAAAAGCUUCCACCUGAAGCAAAAUCGGUCGACGCACUCAUCGUCACCGCCAACGACACCGACAAAGGUGUACAUACGUUUAGUGAUAUUGAGUUUUUGCUUAGUUAAACGGGUUUACCAUGUCUUAUAGUUUAGAUAUUGAAAAUUGUUUCCUGCAAAUCUCACAAUCUUCCUAUAUUUGCAUAAUUUCAGUUACCAUGAAUGUUGGUAUCUGUUGAUGCUGUGAAGAAAUAUGUGAAUGAUAGAGAUGGUCACUAUGCUUUUGCCAUUGGUGAGAAUUUGACUUCUUGUUGUAAGUGUACUUGAAAUACUUAAGGGCGUGAUUGGAGAGUAGCUUAAAUGAUAAUUCUGAUUGAUGCUUCUUAGGAGUUCUUUUAGAGCAUGCUCAUUGAACACCUUUGCUCUGAUAGUUUGUGCACUCUGCUGUACAUAUGUAGAUCUCUCACAUUGUCUCUUACAUUCAUUUUUCUGAGUGGAAAUGCUUAUGUUAGGUUAGAUUUAUGUUGUCCUCAUGCUAGAUUAGGUGCCCUUCAGUUAACUAUACAGUCACCCCUCCACUUCAACGAACUAACUUUGACGUGAUAAUUUGUGAGUCUUAUUGUAGUACAAGAGGUGAAUAACCUGAAGCAAGCAUAGCCAUCACUAUUGAAGAAAAAAAUCUGCCACCCAUUCAGCUUUAUCUACAUUGGCAUAACAUUAGCAUCUUUUGGAUAGCAUAUUGUAGACAAUCCCAUUCAAAUUUGUCUACAUUUUGGAUAGUAUAUUGUUGCUUGCACUUUUGUAGUUUUAAUAUCCUCAAAUCAAUGUAAUUAUUGUUGCAGGGAGUGAUUAAGUUUCCAAUACAGACAAAUGAAAAAACAAGGCCUACUGCAUAGCAUACUGACACUGAUUUUGGUCUAGAGUUUCAAAAUUAUGAGUUUGUCGUUUAAGAUCGAUUCACAUUGUCUCAAUUGCAGUCAUCUACUAGAAUGAAAUGAAGAAAUUUGAGAGUUUGUCAUGGUUGCAAAAGCAACACGCACUACUUUGGACAAUGCCAAUCAAAACUCUGAUGCCUUAGUUGUGAGUGCAAAUAUCAAAAAUAUUUUGAGGUUGAACGGGAUACCAAUAACAAAGGCGAUUGUUCUUCACUGUAGUAAUAAUUGUGGAUACUUCGAUUGGGCGAAAAAUGAAGUUUUAGAUGAGGAAUCGAAUUCCGUUAAUCAUACAUUGAAUCAUGUACCCAAUGAGAAAGACGAAGAGUUGCCAAUACUGUUUGACGAGUUAGCAAGAAUUAGUGAGAAAUAAGGUGUUGGCAUAUCAGUGCACAUAACUCUUAGCAAGGAAAAAAGAAUUGUCAAAUGUGAUGGGAAAGGAAAGGGAUCGAAUUGAAGGAGUGAUCUAAGUUAUAUAUGUGAAUUUCAAUUUGUAUAAUGAUAUGUUGCUUUUAUUCCACUAUAAAGGAUAUGCCUUCAGUUGUGAACCCACCCAAACCUUUUGUUUAGCUAUUUAUGUGGUUGUAGUGAGACCCCCAUUUUUUAUGGACUUUGGAUAAUACUGAUGACCAGGUUUGUUAUGAUUAUUGGAAAUGCUUUAAUGAUUAAGUUAAUUGCCUUCGUAACUUUACUUUGUCAAACUUUAAACUUUACUUUUAACUUGCUUGAUGGUUCAGUUAAUUGCCUGCAUAGAACAAAAACACAAAAAUGGAAAAGGUCACCUGGCAAUAAACCAGGCCAACACAAGUAGAUUGUUUACCAUUAACAAAGUCGUGAAAAGAAGGAAGUAGAAGAACUAGGCCAUGCUGGAUUUGUUUCAGAUAAAAUCAUAGACAGCAGCGAAAGUCCAUAGAAAGCCAUGACACUAUCACUUUUGUAAGCUCUAAUCAAAACUAUCCUAGACCUCAGUCCUUAAUAUUAUCACUAUUUACCAUCUUAUCUAGCUAACAUUGUCC
This 1997-nucleotide long non-coding RNA is filed under the name Olea europaea subsp. europaea. Lineage: Eukaryota; Viridiplantae; Streptophyta; Magnoliopsida; Lamiales; Oleaceae. The record is from RNAcentral.